GUGGGGAAUCUUAGACAAUGGGGGAAACCCUGAUCUAGCCAUGCCGCGUGAGCGAUGAAGGCCUUAGGGUUGUAAAGCUCUUUCAGCUGGGAAGAUAAUGACGGUACCAGCAGAAGAAGCCCCGGCUAACUCCGUGCCAGCAGCCGCGGUAAUACGGAGGGGGCUAGCGUUGUUCGGAAUUACUGGGCGUAAAGCGCGCGUAGGCGGACCAGAACGUUGGAGGUGAAAUCCCAGGGCUCAACCUUGGCACUGCCUUCAGAACUCCUGGUCUGGAGUUGGAGAGAGGGGAGUGGAAAUCCGAGUGUAGAGGUGAAAGUCGUAGAUAUUCGGAGGAACACCAGUGGCGAAGGCGGCUCACUGGCUCGAUACUGACGCUGAGGUGCGAAAGCGUGGGGAGCAAACAGGAUUAGAAACCCGUGUAGUCC
RNAcentral lists this ribosomal RNA (425 nucleotides) under uncultured bacterium. RNAcentral's name for it is "partial 16S ribosomal RNA". It matches the Rfam family "Bacterial small subunit ribosomal RNA", at positions 354 to 796 of the family's 1533-position model. The record is from RNAcentral.